UGAUCCAGCCAUGCCCGCGUGUGUGAAGAAGGCCUUCGGGUUGUAAAGCUCUUUUGUUGGGGAAGAAACCGGCCGGGCUUAAUACCCUGGUUGAAUGACGGUACCCAAAGAAUAAGCACCGGCUAACUUCGUGCCAGCAGCCGCGGUAAUACGAAGGGUGCAAGCGUUACUCGGAAUUACUGGGCGUAAAGCGUGCGUAGGCGGUUUGUUAAGUCUGCUGUGAAAGCCCUGGGCUCAACCUGGGAACUGCAGUGGAUACUGGCGAGCUAGAGUGUGUCAGAGGAUGGUGGAAUUCCCGGUGUAGCGGUGAAAUGCGUAGAGAUCGGGAGGAACACCAGUGGCGAAGGCGGCCAUCUGGGACAACACUGACGCUGAGGCACGAAAGCGUGGGGAGCAAACAGGAUUAGAUACCCUGGUAGUCCACGCCCUAAACGAUGCGAACUGGACGUUGGGCACACUUAGGUGCUCAGUGUCGAAGCUAACGCGUUAAGUUCGCCGCCUGGGGA
This 506-nucleotide ribosomal RNA is filed under the name uncultured Lysobacterales bacterium. RNAcentral describes it as "bacterial SSU rRNA". It matches the Rfam family "Bacterial small subunit ribosomal RNA", at positions 384 to 879 of the family's 1533-position model. Lineage: Bacteria; Pseudomonadati; Pseudomonadota; Gammaproteobacteria; Lysobacterales. The record is from RNAcentral.